GCUGGGCGUGGUGGCGCACACCUGUAAUCCCAGCUAUUCAGGGGGCUGAGACGGAAGAAUUGCUUGAACCCAGGAGGCAUAGGUUGCAGUGAGCCAAGAUCACACCACUGUACUCCAUCCUGGGAGACACAGUGAGACUCCGUCUCAA
This is an unclassified non-coding RNA of Pongo abelii (Sumatran orangutan), 148 nucleotides long. It matches the Rfam family "Metazoan signal recognition particle RNA". Rfam says of the family: The signal recognition particle (SRP) is a universally conserved ribonucleoprotein. It is involved in the co-translational targeting of proteins to membranes. The eukaryotic SRP consists of a 300-nucleotide 7S RNA and six proteins: SRPs 72, 68, 54, 19, 14, and 9. Lineage: Eukaryota; Metazoa; Chordata; Mammalia; Primates; Hominidae. The record is from Ensembl.